GGUCGGGUUAUGUCAGGUCAUGUAGACAUAACCCGGCUAUGUCUACAUGGAUAAAUGCACGGAGUUGCUGCCGUUUGAGAUGCCAUUAGAUUUUUGACUGAAGGAGAGGUUGAGCAGAUGUACCUAAUGAAGUGGCCGGUUUGCACUGGAAUCGACAAUACUCCAGAGGCAAUCACUCUGUUAGAGUUCAUGAACUGGGAUUUAGUGCUUCCUGCUCGUCUCCUUUGUGUAUACACCGACUCACGGUGGUCUUCCAGUUCAUCCUGUUGUCCAACUUGAUGCCCAGGUACUGCUAGUACCCCACAUCACAUCAACAUCACAUCAACAUCACCAUGUCUCUGGCCUAUUCACAUCUGGGAUUUCUCCCAUACCUCUCCACAAAAUCCAACACAUCUGUGCUGUACUCCUGCUCCCGCUCAUCUCUGAUGUAUUUGUGUAGUUCCAAGUCUGAGGCAUACAAGGCGAACGGGAAUGGAGACAUCACCAAAUGGCCGAAUCACACUUAAGAAAUCAAAGAAGCUUAGCAGCUGUUACUGUCUAGAUGGAAGUAUAACCUCUCUGCAGCAUGUAGACGAAUGCAUCAGCCACUCCCAGAUUUGGUUUGUCAUGCAAACUGAAGAUUGUGGCGAGAUGUGCUGUGUCAGUUGUUUUAAGUGUUUUAGGGCUGAAAGGAAUGCCCGGCUUCAGUGUAGUUCAUUUGUCCAGAAGUUCUGACUAUGCAAAUCUGACGGGAAACUGUAGCCAGGCACACCCACAGCAACUGGAAGUUACAGUUAAGACAAAGAGUCUUGUUCAUAACUGCUCCGGCUAUGUUUAGUCCCAGUGACUGCCAAAACAGUUUCCAGCUGUUUGCAAACAAGUAAUGUGAGACAUUCGAAAACCUACACAGACUUUAGUCAGAUUCAAAGACAGUGCCUACACGGUUCACUGAAUGCCAGCUAUAAUGUGUUCAGUGAUGAUGAUUGUGCUCUUCAUGCUUUUUAAUUGUUUCUUGAAGUGUGAAAAGAAAUAUCUGAUAUAGAUUUAGAUUCAAAGAAUGAGCAUUUAUUUAAUAUCUGACAUUAGAGCCACACACAAAAACAACAUGCUAGAUGACUUUAUUUUGCAGUCAACAAAACUACAAAGGAGAUGGUUGUUACAUUUUUCUUUUCUGUUCUCUUUGGUUCUGUCACUCUUCUUCUUCUUUUGUGGGUGUUUCCAAUUUCCACUUUUAGAUAUCAACCAGUAGGAAGCUUUUACAAUAUGGUGUGUUUAAAUUGUAAAUGGAAUAGUUUGUGUAAAGUGUUUUUAAGAAAAAUAUGUCACUGAAGAGUCUGUGUGGCUUCUUUUUUUGGAAUUUAGUCAGUGUUGGUUUCCUGAAUGAAGAAUAUGAAUUGUAAAUGCCGGCAAAGCCGCUUUACCUUGCGCCUUUAUUUUGAAGAGUACCUUAGCACUUCCUCUUUUAUUGUGUCACACUUCCUGUUCUGCUCUCAGUGAAACCACACAAACACAUUGCUUCAGAGUGAGUGAACAACCUUUAUUUUUGGAAAUAUUCAUGUAAAACCAUGUACUUUAUUUAACUGUCACAUGCUAUAACUUGGGAAACUUUAUACUUCUAUCUCUGGAAAUUGAACUCCUCAUCUCAACGUUGACCAUGCACUGUGAACUUUAUCACAGUUAUAAUUCAAUUCAAU
Molecule: long non-coding RNA, 1673 nt
Organism: Oreochromis niloticus (Nile tilapia)
Lineage: Eukaryota; Metazoa; Chordata; Actinopteri; Cichliformes; Cichlidae
Exons: 3
Source: RefSeq, a predicted model, not a curated record